AACGAACGCUGGCGGCAUGCCUAACACAUGCAAGUCGAACGAGACCUUCGGGUCUAGUGGCGCACGGGUGCGUAACGCGUGGGAACCUGCCCUUAGGUUCGGAAUAACUCCCCGAAAGGGGUGCUAAUACCGGAUAAUGUCAUCGGACCAAAGAUUUAUCGCCUUUGGAUGGGCCCGCGUUGGAUUAGCUAGUUGGUAGGGUAAAAGCCUACCAAGGCGACGAUGCAUAGCUGGUCUGAGAGGAUGAUCAGCCACAAUGGGACUGAGACACGGCCCAGACUCCUACGGGAGGCAGCAGUGGGGAAUAUUGGACAAUGGGCGAAAGUCUGAUCCAGCAAUGCCGCGUGAGUGAUGAAGGCCUUAGGGUUGUAAAGCUCUUUUACCCGGGAUGAUAAUGACAGUACCGGGAGAAUAAGCUCCGGCUAACUCCGUG
Molecule: ribosomal RNA, 433 nt
Filed under: uncultured bacterium
Lineage: Bacteria
Description: partial 16S ribosomal RNA
Rfam family: Bacterial small subunit ribosomal RNA
Source: RNAcentral